GAGUCUAGCUUUGUACCAGGCUGCAGUGCAGUAGUGCCAUCUCAGCUCACUGCAACCUCUGCCUCCCGGGUUCAAGCGAUUGUCCUGCCUCAGCCUCCCGAGUAGCUGGGAUUACAGCCACAUGCCACCACACCCAGCUAAUGUUUGUAUUUUUAGUAGAUACGGGGUUUCAUCAUGUUGCCCAGGAUGGUCUUAAUUUCCUGACCUCGUGAUCCGCCCAUCUCGGCCUCCCAAAAUGCUGGGAUUACAGGCAUGAGCCACCAGAACCGGACAUGCUUUCCUUAAAAGCUAAAUAUUUUAGGCUUGUGUGCCAUUAGGCUCUGUUACAACUACUUAAUUCUGCUUUUGUAAUUCUAUAGCACCCAUUGAUAAUACAUAAACAAAUGAGCAUGAAUGUGUCUCAGUAAAAAUUUGUUCACAUAAACAGGCAGUCCACCCAUGAAGCUAUAGCUUGCUGACCCCUUGUUUAAACAAUCAAUUGAAUUCAAACAGAAAUAAAAGGAUCUUAUAUAUUUAACCAUGUUGAUACCAUUUCCAGUGCUUUUCAUUCUUCUAUGUAGAUCCAAAUUUCCUUUUGAUAUUAUUUUACUUCUGCCUGAAACAUUUUCUUUAACAUUUUUUAUAGUGUUGUUUUACUGGUGAUGAUUUCUUUCAGGUUCUAAGUGCCUGAACAAAAUCUUUAUUUCACCUACAUCUUGAAAGAUAGUUUCUCUGAGUCUACAAUUCCCAGCUGACAAUGUUUAUCUUCCAGUACUUUAAAGAUGUUGCUUCAUUAUCUUCUAAUUUUCUUUGUUUCCAAUAAAAUGUUUGCUGGCAUUUUUUGUUCCUCUGUGCAAACUGUGUUUUUGUCAUUGGCCGCUUUGAGAAUUUUUCUUUAUCACUAGUUUUAAGCAAUUUUAUUUUAGUGUAUUUUGUGCACAAGACAAGGAUGCCCUCUCUCACCACUCCUGUUCAACAUAGUAUUGGAAGUCCUUGCCAAAACAGUUAGGCAAGAGAAAGAAAUAAAGGGUACCCAAAUAGGAAGAAAG
This 1028-nucleotide long non-coding RNA is filed under the name Homo sapiens (human). Its description in RNAcentral is "lncAB571.1". Lineage: Eukaryota; Metazoa; Chordata; Mammalia; Primates; Hominidae. The record is from RNAcentral.